CAACAAAUCACAUCUGAAGCAGGUUUCCCCACUCCUACCCCUACCUUGCGGAAGUUUAAGCAGCAUAACCAGCUUCAGUGAAGGAACCAGAUUUUUAUUUUUUUUUUAUUGUUAAUGUCAAACAAACAUUUAUUUCAGGUGCAAAGCCUCAGGAUAUGUUAGUGAAAACAGUGGCACUGCUGUUCUAUUGCUUACUGCCCACUAAGUGGGUGGGAAAAGGGUACCGUGACCCUUUUACCCUUCCCACCAGUCUCCCUAACAGCUUUGGCCUUCGGGUCAGCUCAAUUUCCCCUCCACUGAGUGGCCAUUACUGAGCGAGGCCGUGAUAAAUGCUCUCCGUGCGGGCCUGCAUUGCCGGCAGCCAGGGCUGGGGAAGGAGGAGGCCUGGACCAGGCGGAUGGAGCCAGGAGACGGAUGGAGCGAGAUGCCUGCGCGCCGGGCGCCUGUUACCUAGCAACCCGCCGAGAUCACCCAAAAUGAAUAGACCCACAAACAAAAAUGAAAAGGAGAUAAAAAAGAGUAAAAGUCUAUGGGGCUCAAAGGAGAUGACUACAGUUGGGAUGGUUGCUAUUAUUCAACAUAUUCCAAUCAACACCUUCCACUGGAGAUGCAGAAUUGUGGGUUUGCAGCAUUGCCGCAGGGGAAUGGAGCUCCAGGCACUCCAGAACAACUGCUUGAAAUCCUUGCACCCCUGGAACAGGGAUCAGGAGACAUAACGAGGUUUUCCUUCAUUUAGGAAAAAAAUUAGUUUGCCAUAUCAUAAAAGCCAUUAUUUUAAAUGACACUGCUAAUACCUUAUUACUAUCUUCAGAAGGGGCACUCAGAUACUUUAUUUGAGCUGUUUCCCUAUUUCUCUCUCGUCAGUGAUACAAGCAGUAAUGAAAGGGCUAGAGCUAAUUAAAAGACAAUAAUUUCAUGAAGGGGUGGUGAUGAUGAUGAGGCAAUAGACUGUGAGAACAAAGCUUGAGGGGUUUUAAUGACUCAUCAACCCCUUGAUGGGAGUGUAGCCUUAC
RNAcentral lists this long non-coding RNA (1013 nucleotides) under Coturnix japonica (Japanese quail). Its description in RNAcentral is "lncRNA (ENSCJPG00005014486.1)". Lineage: Eukaryota; Metazoa; Chordata; Aves; Galliformes; Phasianidae. The record is from RNAcentral.